CCAUGCUAGUCGCGCGGGUUCAGACCCGCGGCAAAUAGCUCAGUAACACGUGGCCAAACUACCCUGUGGAUCGGGAUAACCUCGGGAAACUGAGGCUAAUCCCGAAUACAGCUUCCAGCCUGGAGUGGCGGAAGCUGGAAACGUUCCGGCGCCACAGGAUGUGGCUGCGGCCGAUUAGGUAGACGGUGGGGUAACGGCCCACCGUGCCGAUAAUCGGUACGGGUCAUGAGAGUGAGAGCCCGGAGACGGUAUCUGAGACAAGAUACCGGGCCCUACGGGGCGCAGCAGGCGCGAAACCUUUACACUGCACGACAGUGCGAUAGGGGGACUCCGAGUGCGAGGGCAUACAGUCCUCGCUUUUCUGUACCGUAAGGUGGUACAGGAACAAGUGCUGGGCAAGACCGGUGCCAGCCGCCGCGGUAAUACCGGCAGCACGAGUGAUGGCCGAUAUUAUUGGGCCUAAAGCGUCCGUAGCCGGCCGGACAAGUCCGUUGGGAAAUCCACGCGCUCAACGCGUGGGCGUCCGGCGGAAACUGUCCGGCUUGGGGCCGGAAGACCUGAGGGGUACGUCCGGGGUAGGAGUGAAAUCCCGUAAUCCUGGACGGACCACCGGUGGCGAAAGCGCCUCAGGAAGACGGACCCGACGGUGAGGGACGAAAGCCAGGGUCUCGAACCGGAUUAGAUACCCGGGUAGUCCUGGCCGUAAACGAUGCCCGCUAGGUGUGGCGCAGGCUACGAGCCUGCGCUGUGCCGUAGGGAAGCCGUGAAGCGGGCCGCCUGGGAAGUACGUCUGCAAGGAUGAAACUUAAAGGAAUUGGCGGGGGAGCACUACAACCGGAGGAGCCUGCGGUUUAAUUGGAUUCAACGCCGGA
This 872-nucleotide ribosomal RNA is filed under the name uncultured Halapricum sp. Its description in RNAcentral is "bacterial SSU rRNA". It matches the Rfam family "Archaeal small subunit ribosomal RNA", at positions 49 to 922 of the family's 1478-position model. Lineage: Archaea; Methanobacteriati; Methanobacteriota; Halobacteria; Halobacteriales; Haloarculaceae. The record is from RNAcentral.